RNAcentral lists this non-coding RNA (196 nucleotides) under Candidatus Competibacter. Lineage: Bacteria; Pseudomonadati; Pseudomonadota; Gammaproteobacteria; Candidatus Competibacteraceae. The record is from RNAcentral. RNAcentral also lists the same sequence under 1 other name.
UAAGAUCUCGCCAUCUUGGGUGCACUCCUAGAGUGUGAAACGGGAAGUCGGUGACGCUGGACAACCAGCCAUUCCGACGCAGCCCCCGCUGCUGUAAGCCUGACAACUCCGCGAAACGCCACUGUGUAGGUUCCACGGGAAGGCGCGGACGAGAUCGACGGCAAGCCAGAAGACCGGCCCAGGAGACUUGAUGGUG